RNA transcript from Zea mays, 592 nucleotides. RefSeq lists it as uncharacterized. The transcript has a single exon. The record is from RefSeq and is marked validated. Lineage: Eukaryota; Viridiplantae; Streptophyta; Magnoliopsida; Poales; Poaceae.
CUUCCAUCGCCGGCCCUUUUUCCGUGCACAAAGGCGUGUGUGUGCGUAUAUAUAUACACAUACACACACUGCUCCAUGCCACCGUUGUAGCAAGUUCUCCCAUCUAGCAACACCAUAAUCGCAGGAGAAUCGCUGCUCCACCAGACUCGGUUUCCUCUUGCUUCAGCGUCAAAAUCAUGGCCGCAGCUGGCAAGUCGUCGUCGGCCAUGGAGGAGACGGUUGCGGCGACGGCCGCCGCGCGGGGGCGGCGCGGGAUUGACCGGCAGGCCGUCGACAGGGGCAUCGCCUACCUGCUCAUGGUGGCCGCCCUCGUCGCCACCUACGCGCUUCACUAGAUUUUGAUCUGCUCCGGCGCGGGCAGACCUCACAGGAAGGAAGGCUUUUGUGCGCUUCUGCUUCCCGCCGGCCUCAGCCUCUUCAGAGUUCCCCUGCACCAAACUUCAUUCGUUCGUCUUCCAACCUUGUAUUGUAUGGAGAAUUGGAGAUGGAGAUGCAUGUGUCUGUGUGCUACAUCUCCAUACACUGCACAAGUUGUUUUCUUAUACUCUUUCCGUGUGAUUAAUCUGUACAGAAUAGUCAUUUGUUGCCAAAA